AUUGAACGCUGGCGGCAUGCUUUACACAUGCAAGUCGAACGGUAACAGGUUAAGCUGACGAGUGGCGAACGGGUGAGUAAUGUAUCGGAACGUGCCCGGUCGUGGGGGAUAACGUAGCGAAAGCUACGCUAAUACCGCAUACGAUCUACGGAUGAACGCGGGGGAUCGCAAGACUUCGCGCGAUUGGAGCGGACGAUAUCAGAUUAGGUUGUUGGUGAGGUAAAAGCUCACCAAGCCUGCGAUCUGUAGCUGGUCUGAGAGGACGACCAGCCACACUGGAACUGAGACACGGUCCAGACUCCUACGGGAGGCAGCAGUGGGGAAUUUUGGACAAUGGACCCAAGUCUGAUCCAGCAAUGCCGCGUGCAGGACGAAGGCCUUCGGGUUGUAAACUGCUUUUGUACGGAACGAAACGGUGAGCUCUAAUACAGUUUGCUAAUGACGGUACCGUAAGAAUAAGCACCGGCUAACUACGUGCCAGCAGCCGCCGUAA
This 493-nucleotide ribosomal RNA is filed under the name uncultured bacterium. Its description in RNAcentral is "partial 16S ribosomal RNA". It matches the Rfam family "Bacterial small subunit ribosomal RNA", at positions 30 to 523 of the family's 1533-position model. The record is from RNAcentral.